RNAcentral lists this ribosomal RNA (285 nucleotides) under Chromobacterium sp. October_NA3C2. Its description in RNAcentral is "partial 16S ribosomal RNA". It matches the Rfam family "Bacterial small subunit ribosomal RNA", at positions 1086 to 1372 of the family's 1533-position model. The record is from RNAcentral. Lineage: Bacteria; Pseudomonadati; Pseudomonadota; Betaproteobacteria; Neisseriales; Chromobacteriaceae.
CCCGCAACGAGUGCCACACAAGGCCAUUAGUUGCCAUCAUUAAGUUGGGCACUCUAAUGGGACUGCCGGUGACAAACCGGAGGAAGGUUUUGAUGACGUCAAGUCCUCAUGGCCCUUAUGACCAGGGCUUCACACUUCAUACUAUGGUCGGUACAGAGGGUCGCGAAUCCCCGAGGUGGAUCCCAUCUUAUAAAACCGAUGGUAGUCCGGAUCGCACUCUGCAACUCGAGUGCGUGAAGUCGGAAUCGCUUUAAUCGCACAUCAGCAUGCUGCGGUGAAUACUUU